Molecule: long non-coding RNA, 300 nt
Filed under: Elaeis guineensis (African oil palm)
Lineage: Eukaryota; Viridiplantae; Streptophyta; Magnoliopsida; Arecales; Arecaceae
Description: long non-coding RNA (EGUI_LNC012017)
Source: RNAcentral
CAUCGUGUUAAUUCUGCUCGCCAUCACUCCCUUCAUCUUCCUUUUUGCUGGAACACUGGAGAAGAGGCUAUGGAUAGAUGAAAAAGGGAUUGGAGAUUAGAUUUAUUGGAUGCUUGAAUGAUUUCUAGUUUUAGGCAUUGGGACUUAUUUAUAGGUGUAGGGAGGCAUGAAGUUUAAUAGAUGAAGCAAUGUGGGAUUAAUAGAAGAAAGAAUGGAUGGCUAGGGUUUCUUUUAAGUAGACAUGUGAGGCUCCUUGAAAAUGGAUGGUUAAGAUUUAUUGAGAGGAUCAAGGGGCACUAG